RNAcentral lists this transfer RNA (90 nucleotides) under Stegodyphus mimosarum. Its description in RNAcentral is "tRNA-Tyr for anticodon GUA". It matches the Rfam family "tRNA". Rfam says of the family: Transfer RNA (tRNA) molecules are approximately 80 nucleotides in length. Their secondary structure includes four short double-helical elements and three loops (D, anti-codon, and T loops). The record is from Rfam by way of RNAcentral. Lineage: Eukaryota; Metazoa; Arthropoda; Arachnida; Araneae; Eresidae.
CCGUCGAUAGCUCAGUUGGCAGAGCGGUGGACUGUAGAUGUUUGAUUAACAGUUAUCCAUAGGUCGCUGGUUCGACUCCGGCUCGACGGA